Medicago truncatula (barrel medic) is the source of this 1302-nucleotide long non-coding RNA. RefSeq lists it as uncharacterized. Lineage: Eukaryota; Viridiplantae; Streptophyta; Magnoliopsida; Fabales; Fabaceae. The transcript is spliced from 2 exons. The record is from RefSeq and is a predicted model, not a curated record.
AUUUAGAGACGGUAAUUAUUUGGUAUUUUAAGGGUUUAAGUUAGUAGUAACUUUGGUGAAUUAGUUGGUAAGAAUAUUGAGCCUAUUAUGACAAUUAAAAACAUAGCUCAAUUAGAAGGUGGUAUAUAAGCAUAACUCUUGUGAGAAUUAAGGUAAAUCUUCAUUAUUCAUUUCACAAAAACAUAAGAGGUAGUGAGAGAAAGUGGAUCAAGAGGAUAGAAGAGGAAGCUAAAGAAAGAGAGAGAGGUUGGGGUUUGAAGAGCUAGUAGCUAAACUGAAGCCAAAAUUAUGAUUCUUGAAGACUAAAGAACGAAUCAGGUGUUGGAAAAUGGAAAUAUUCUCGCCAUUAUAUCCUUCCGAUUGAUAUUCAAAUUUUAUUCUUAUACGAGUAUCACCUAAUAUUGUACUAGUCUACGACUGUUGCAUACUUGCAUGUAAGAAUUGCAAGUAAUGUUGGUGGUGGUUAUGUAUAGUUGCAUAAUUUUUGUCUAAAUGCAUUAGACUCCCGGUGGUUUGGUCGUCUCUAGUUCCAUUACAUUUUUUUUUUUGCAAAAAUAAAUAAUAAAAUUUAUUGAUAACAAGUCAUGGCACAAGAAAUGUUCUGGACAACCAUAACACAAGAUACAAACCAGUAUUACUGCUCAAAACAUGUCAUUCUAAAAGAUACAUAAGAAACUAAAGUUAUAUAGUGAUGCAUUUGUUUAAAACUCCUCAUUCAAGGGACCAAGACACAAUACAUCCUAUGUGUAUCCUUAUCCUUAUUAUCUAACCAUUCUUAACAUUCCAAACCUAAUUUGCAAACUCUAACCCUAAAAAAUUGGUGACAAUGUUGCCUUAAUGAUUGUCAUUAGUGUUCCAACCACCUAUCUCACAUUACAACACAAAUUUGAAUUUCAACAAUGCAUUAAGUAUAUUUUUUUCCCAAUAAAUUAGUUUGUAAUUAAUGACAUGGUAGAAAUGUUUAUUUUCCAUAAACAUCCAGCUAUUGAAUGACUUUACAGCUUCCCUAGAUACAAACUCAUAAUAAUAAGAUAUGUAUUUUUGAAGCGGGUGUUACAAAAUUUAUGCUGAAGUCAUUCUCCUUCAUUGAACCUGUUGUUCGACCAAACAUGGAAGAGACACCAAAAGCGUAUGAAAUAAAAAAGAAGACGACCAAAAAUUGCAUACUAUAACUAGUAUGUUUGGCACAUCCUAUGACACUUGGUUUUCUUCAUAUUCUUUGUUGUUUUUGUUUGGAACCAGUACCGCGAUUUAAACAUUAAGGAUGAAUGUUAUUAAAAAGUGCAUUUAUCUUCUCUUGAA